AAACUAACCUGGCUGGGAGGCAUCUCGCGAUCAUGAAGGCGGGACCUCCAUGGCGAGGUUUGGCCAUUGCACUUUCGGCCAGGCUGACCCGUGUGGCAGUCCCGAGUUGGGAUUGGCCAACAGCAUAAUUUUUGCGUUUGGGGACAGCGUUCGCGCUUCCCCGCCC
RNAcentral lists this small nuclear RNA (166 nucleotides) under Ascaris lumbricoides (common roundworm). It matches the Rfam family "U1 spliceosomal RNA". From Rfam's summary of the family: U1 is a small nuclear RNA (snRNA) component of the spliceosome (involved in pre-mRNA splicing). Its 5' end forms complementary base pairs with the 5' splice junction, thus defining the 5' donor site of an intron. There are significant differences in sequence and secondary structure between metazoan and yeast U1 snRNAs, the latter being much longer (568 nucleotides as compared to 164 nucleotides in human). The record is from RNAcentral. Lineage: Eukaryota; Metazoa; Nematoda; Chromadorea; Rhabditida; Ascarididae.